AGCUCCAAUAGCGUAUAUUAAAGUUGUUGCAGUUAAAAAGCUCGUAGUUGAAUUUCUGAUAGAAGGGAGCGGUUCCGCAUUCUUGCGGAUACUGGCUCGUCUUCCGUCAUCCUUGGGCUUAGUCUCGCUGAUAUUAACUUAUCGGCGUGUAACAUGCCCAUCGUUUACUGUGAGCAAAUUAGAGUGUUCAAAGCAGGCAUUUUGCCAUUGAAUAUAUUAGCAUGGAAUAAUAAGAUAGGAUUUCACGAUUUUAUUUUGUUGGUUUGCGUUGUGAAAUAAUGAUUAAGAGGGACAGUUGUGGGUAUUCGUAUUCAGAUGUCAGAGGUGAAAUUCUUAGAUUAUCGGAAGACGAACGACUGCGAAAGCAUUUACCAAGGAUGUUUUCA
RNAcentral lists this ribosomal RNA (386 nucleotides) under uncultured marine Chaetocerotaceae. RNAcentral's name for it is "SSU rRNA". It matches the Rfam family "Eukaryotic small subunit ribosomal RNA", at positions 587 to 972 of the family's 1831-position model. The record is from RNAcentral. Lineage: Eukaryota; Bacillariophyta; Thalassiosirophyceae; Chaetocerotales; Chaetocerotaceae.